UACGUAGGGUGCAAGCGUUGUCCGGAAUUAUUGGGCGUAAAGAGCUCGUAGGUGGCGGGUCACGUCGGGUGUGAAAGCCCGGGGCUUAACCUGGGAGGUGCGUUUGAUACGGAUGGGCUAGAGUUCGGGAGAGGAGAGUGGACUUCCCAGUGUAGAGGUGAAAUUCGUAGAUAUUGGGAAGAACACCGGUGGCGAAGGCGGCUCUCUGGACCGAGACUGACGCUGAGGCGCGAAAGCGUGGGGAGCGAACAGG
Molecule: ribosomal RNA, 253 nt
Filed under: uncultured bacterium
Lineage: Bacteria
Description: partial 16S ribosomal RNA
Rfam family: Bacterial small subunit ribosomal RNA
Source: RNAcentral